RNAcentral lists this ribosomal RNA (497 nucleotides) under uncultured bacterium. RNAcentral describes it as "partial 16S ribosomal RNA". It matches the Rfam family "Bacterial small subunit ribosomal RNA", at positions 28 to 507 of the family's 1533-position model. The record is from RNAcentral.
GAUGAACGCUGGCGGCGUGCCUAAUACAUGCAAGUCGAGCGGAAGGACGAGAAGCUUGCUUCUCUGAUGUUAGCGGCGGAGGGGUGAGUAACACGUGGAUAACCUACCUAUAAGACUGGGAUAACUUCGGGACACCGGAGCUAAUACCGGAUAAUAUUUUGAACCGCAUGGGUCAAAAGUGAAAGACGGUCUUGCUGUCACUUAUAGCUGGAUCCGCGCUGCAUUAGCUAGUUGGUAAGGUAACGGCUUACCAAGGCAACGAUGCAUAGCCGAACUGAGAGGGUGAUCGGCCACACUGGAACGGAGACACGGUCCAGACUCCUACGGGAGGCAGCAGUAGGGAAUCUUCCGCAAUGGGCGAAAGCCUGACGCAGCAACGCCGCGUGAGUGAUGAAGGUCUUCGGAGCGUAAAACUCGGUUAUUAGGGAAGAACAUAUUUGUAAUUAACUGUGCACAGCUUGACGGUACCGAAUCAGAAAGCCACGGCUAACUACGUG